UACGGGGGGGGCAAGCGUUGUUCGGAAUUACUGGGCGUAAAGGGCUCGUAGGCGGCCAACUAAGUCAGACGUGAAAUCCCUCGGCUUAACCGGGGAACUGCAUCUGAUACUGGAUGGCUUGAGUUCGGGAGAGGGAUGCGGAAUUCCAGGUGUAGCGGUGGAAUGCGCAGAUAUCCGGAGGAACACCGGUGGCGAAGGCGGCUUCCUGGACCGACACUGACGCUGAGGCGCGAAAGCUAGGGGAGCAAACGGG
RNAcentral lists this ribosomal RNA (253 nucleotides) under uncultured bacterium. Its description in RNAcentral is "partial 16S ribosomal RNA". It matches the Rfam family "Bacterial small subunit ribosomal RNA", at positions 524 to 776 of the family's 1533-position model. The record is from RNAcentral.